AAGAUGACAGUUGUUAAAGAUUUAUCGCUUGAAGAGGAGCUUGCGGCAGAUUAGCUAGUUGGUAAGGUAAUGGCUUACCAAGGCAACGAUCUGUAUCCGGUCUAAGAGGACGGUCGGACACACUGACACUGAAUAACGGGUCAGACUCCUACGGGAGGCAGCAGUCGGGAAUUUUGGGCAAUGGGCGAAAGCCUGACCCAGCAACGCCGCGUGAAGGAUGAAGUUUUUCGGAAUGUAAACUUCGUAAGAAUAGGAAGAAUAAAUGACGGUACUAUUUGUAAGGUCCGGCUAACUACGUGCCAGCAGCCGCGGUAAUACGUAGGGACCAAGCGUUGUUCGGAUUUACUGGGCGUAAAGGGCGCGUAGGCGGCAAUUCAAGUCAGCUGUGAAAUCUCCGGGCUUAACUCGGAACGGUCAGCUGAUACUGCUUUGCUAGAGUGCAGAAGGGGCAAUCGGAAUUCUUGGUGUAGCGGUGAAAUGCGUAGAUAUCAAGAGGAACACCUGAGGUGAAGACGGGUUGCUGGGCUGACACUGACGCUGAGGCGCGAAAGCUAGGGUAGCAAACGGGAUUAGAUACCCCGGUAGUCCUAGCCCUAAACGAUGAAUACUUGGUGUCUGGAGUUUUUAUCCUCCGGGUGCCGUCGCUAACGUUUUAAGUAUUCCGCCUGGGGAGUACGCACGCAAGUGUGAAACUCAAAGGAAUUGACGGGG
This 711-nucleotide ribosomal RNA is filed under the name uncultured bacterium. RNAcentral's name for it is "bacterial SSU rRNA". It matches the Rfam family "Bacterial small subunit ribosomal RNA", at positions 188 to 918 of the family's 1533-position model. The record is from RNAcentral.